GACGAACGCUGGCGGCGUGCUUAACACAUGCAAGUCGAACGGAAAGGCCCUGCUUUUGUGGGGUGCUCGAGUGGCGAACGGGUGAGUAACACGUGAGUAACCUGCCCUUGACUUUGGGAUAACUUCAGGAAACUGGGGCUAAUACCGGAUAGGAGCUCCUGCUGCAUGGGGGGGGUUGGAAAGGAUCGGCGGUUGGGGAUGGACUCGCGGCUUAUCAGCUUGUGGGUGGGGUAGUGGCUUACCAAGGCUUUGACGGGUAGCCGGCCUGAGAGGGUGACCGGCCACAUUGGGACUGAGAUACGGCCCAGACUCCUACGGGAGGCAGCAGUGGGGAAUAUUGCACAAUGGGCGGAAGCCUGAUGCAGCAACGCCGCGUGCGGGAUGACGGCCUUCGGGUUGUAAACCGCUUUCGCCUGUGACGAAGCGUGAGUGACGGUAAUGGGUAAAGAAGCACCGGCUAACUACGUG
Molecule: ribosomal RNA, 468 nt
Filed under: uncultured bacterium
Lineage: Bacteria
Description: partial 16S ribosomal RNA
Rfam family: Bacterial small subunit ribosomal RNA
Source: RNAcentral